UACGAAGGGGGGCUAGCGUUGUUCGGAUUUACUGGGGCGUAAAGGGCGCGUAGGCGGGCUGAUCAGUCAGGGGUGAAAUCCCAAGGCUCAACCUUGGAACUGCCUUUGAUACUGUCGGUCUUGAGUUCGAGAGAGGUAAGUGGAACUGCGAGUGUAGAGGUGAAAUUCGUAGAUAUUCGCAAGAACACCAGUGGCGAAGGCGGCUUACUGGCUCGAAACUGACGCUGAGGCGCGAAAGCGUGGGGAGCAAACAGG
This 255-nucleotide ribosomal RNA is filed under the name uncultured bacterium. RNAcentral's name for it is "partial 16S ribosomal RNA". It matches the Rfam family "Bacterial small subunit ribosomal RNA", at positions 524 to 776 of the family's 1533-position model. The record is from RNAcentral.